RNAcentral lists this ribosomal RNA (576 nucleotides) under Triticum aestivum (bread wheat). RNAcentral describes it as "partial small subunit ribosomal RNA". The record is from RNAcentral. Lineage: Eukaryota; Viridiplantae; Streptophyta; Magnoliopsida; Poales; Poaceae.
AUGACGAUGCUCCGAUCUGCCAUUGGAACUGCCCUCCGGCGGGCGGCGCCGGCCGCUCGUUUCUUUAGCAGUGUCGCCCGUGGCAGCCCUGGAUGCAGCGGCGCAACCAGUGCGCUCCGGCGGACGGCGCCGGCCGCUCGUUUCUUUAGCAGUGUCGCCCGUGGCAGCCCUGGAUGCAGCAGCGCAACCAGUGCGCUCCGGCGGACGGCGCCGGCCGCUCGUUUCUUCAGCAGCGUCGCCCGCGGCAGCCCUGGAUGCAGCCACGCAACCAGUGCGCUCCGGUGGCCGGCGCUGACUUAUAGUCUCUUCGGCAACGGAGGAGGCGGCAGCUCUGGACUCAGGAGGAUGAUGUGCUCGUAUGGCAAUGGUGGACAGGGAUUCUGGAAUCAAGCCUUGAGCUGGGAAAGAUCUGAUAUUUUGUUUUUCGGUAUCACUGGCGUCGUGAUGUAUGUGGUUCAAAGGAAAGUAAGAGCCUUGCAAGAAGAAAAAUGGCAACGUCAGAUAAAGGAUAUUGAGGUGCGGUCAUACAUGAUGGAUAAGGAGAAGGAAGAAACAAUCAAUAUCCCUUUUCAUUGA